UACGUAGGGGGCGAGCGUUAAUCGGAAUUACUGGGCGUAAAGCGUGCGCAGGCGGUUUUGUAAGUCAGAUGUGAAAUCCCCGGGCUUAACCUGGGAACUGCGUUUGAAACUACAAGGCUAGAGUGUGGCAGAGGGGGGUGGAAUUCCACGUGUAGCAGUGAAAUGCGUAGAGAUGUGGAGGAACACCGAUGGCGAAGGCAGCCCCCUGGGUUAACACUGACGCUCAGGCACGAAAGCGUGGGGAGCAAACAGG
Molecule: ribosomal RNA, 253 nt
Filed under: uncultured bacterium
Lineage: Bacteria
Description: partial 16S ribosomal RNA
Rfam family: Bacterial small subunit ribosomal RNA
Source: RNAcentral